Molecule: ribosomal RNA, 253 nt
Filed under: uncultured bacterium
Lineage: Bacteria
Description: partial 16S ribosomal RNA
Rfam family: Bacterial small subunit ribosomal RNA
Source: RNAcentral
CACGGGGGGAGCAAGCGUUGUUCGGAAUCACUGGGCGUAAAGGGAGUCUAGGCUGUCAGGUAAGUGAGAUGUGAAAUCCCUCGGCUUACCCGAGGACCUGCAUUUCAUACUGCUUGGCUUGAGUACGGGAGAGGAUGUGGGAAUUCCUGGUGUAGCGGUGAAAUGCGUAGAUAUCAGGAGGAACACCAGUGGCGAAGGCGGCUCACUGGCCCGGUAAUGACGCUGAGGUGCGAAAGCGUGGGGAGCAAACAGG